GAUUCUGAGCGACUGAAGCUAUGGCUGCUGGCUGUUAAUCAGGAUGUUGAUUUACAGCUUCAAUACGUAAAGCUGUUGAAGUUGUGCAGUGAACAUUUUUCACCAGACGACUUCAAACCAUGUCAAGGAAACACUCAACUACAUCUGAAAUCAACAGCUGUGCCCAGCCUGUUUUUACAAAACAAAGAGGUAUGAGUGGAAUCGUCAUGGGGAGAUCGUUGAGGGAUAAAGUGACGAUACAGCAAUGUAGUUAUAUGACUUCACAUUUUUAAAUAAAUAUAUUAUUGUUAUAAUGCUUUACAUGAUUCUGUAAAGUACAUCCGAGUUACUAUAGUAACAUGAGACUACGAAUGAUCCAUCACAGCUCUGUCAGAACCCACAGUUAGCAGUCCCUACACAGGACCCACAGUCAGCAGGUCCACCUCUUAUCAGUGUCCUCCCAGAAGUUAGUGAUGUAAGUGAAAACACAGUCACAGAAGGAUUAUUUUUGCCUGCAUAUUUAGCUGGUGUACCCCAGUCAACCCCAGUUAAACCACAGAGCAUCCAAAGUUAACGAGAACAUGAGUGUGCAGUUACACCAAAACUUAUGUUGGUGCUAUCAAGUCCACAUACAGCUGAACAGCAUUCACGUCCAUCAACAUCAGGGACAUACUAUGCCUUAUCUGCCGCAAAGUCCUAUAAAAGAGUAAGUGUACUUUUUAUAAUUAAACUGUCCUUAUUUUGUAUUUGGUAUAAAUCAUAUCUGAACUAUUAUGAAGUCAAUACAAUGUAAAUUGGCAAGUUAUAUACUAUUCUUUUUUUCAUAGUAAUUAUUCAAACCAUACAAUUUGAUUCAUUACUUUUCAUCAUGUAGGGUGAACAAACACAUGCUGAAGACUCAUCAGAAGAUCUCAGUCUUGAUGUCAGCAUGCUGUCCCUGGAUCCUCCAUCUGACAAGAAGGACCAAAGUUUUGUUCCCCUAAGUUCUACCUCUAAUUCAACCACAACUACAGAGGAAGAUGAAGAAAAUGGUAAAUACCAACAAGAAAGGAAAUGAAUGGUCAAUGAGUCCCAUGUGAUGGAGCUGUUCAGAAACGAUUCAGUCAAAAGCACUAACCACAAUUGAAGAUGUAAUUGUAUAUAUUUUUUAACUUUUCUAAAAAAAAGGGUUACAGAAGCAUCAAGAUCUGCUUCAAUGGAGCCCCUAGGCUUUAGGAGAGGUCUAAACUCUCUUUUGGAAAAGGGAAUUGACAAAGUCAUGACUAUGAACUGAUCCCCGUCUAUACUAAAGUUGAUGAGGGUUGAUUAUCCACAAAUUCAUGAUGAGUUCGAUAUCUGGAAUGUAGUGAAGGGUAUGUACAUCUUGCAUUACUAAAACUUGUUAUACUUGUUUACAUGUGUGUGUGUAUAUGUGUAUAUGUAUGUAUAUAUUUAUUUAUUUAAUGUCUAUAGCAGUACCAAAUUGUUGCUGUGUGUAAACAACAGGUUGAUAUAAAUGUAUUAUGACUUCCGUUUGUAUGCAUUAUGCUGAUUAUUUUGCCCCAAAACUUCAUAAUGUGUAAUAUAUAUAAUUUUUUUUAAGGGUUCUUCAAAAAAUUACUGUCAGUUUCCAGAAAAAGAGAGAAUCAAGACCUCCAACCUUGGAUUAAAAGUAUAUGCAACCAUUUGUGGUAUGCAUGUGCAUCCUGCAGCUGCGACACCGAUGUGUUGACAGAGAAGUGGAAAUCACUUCUCCAUCACAUUUGUGGAGUACACAGUUGGGAAGAAGAUGGACAGCAACAUCAGUGUGCCCAUGAUGACCUCACUCCUGACCAGCAGAGAAGAAAACGUUGGAUACGAAAGGACUCUUCAGUGUUUUGGACACUGUCUUCUCUUGGUUUUGCAUUAAAAUCUCCUGAAGGACCUGAGCAAAUGGCGUUAUUCAAGCAUACAGCCAAGUUACUACUACAAAAAUGUAUUAGAUUUAAUAUGGAAAGGUUAACAUUAUAAAAUCCAUUUGUUUUCUCUGGCAGUCUUGAGGUGUACCAUUCUGUUCUUUUGAAAUACUGUCGGAAGAACCUACAUUUUCACUACUCUUCGAUGACAGCUCGUACUCAACUUGCUGUCCUAGAUCACAACGAAAAUGUACACCGUCAACAGGCCACAACCACCUCUGGUGUUCCUCGAUAUAACAUUGUCUAUCCCAAGCAAACCAAAGAGUGGCUGGCAAGAAAAAUCUACGAACCCACUAAACAAAAAUUCAGGGAUGAGGUAGUUCAAAAAGUACUGGAGCGGCACAAUGACCCCACUGUAGUUUGCAAGGACACAAUCUCUCAAGUUUCUUUUCCUGAAUAACCAUGCAAUAUUGCAAACCCAAACCGGACAAGGAAGCAGCUGUUGCAAAACAUGUGUCAAAGUUUCAAAAAUAAAUGACUGUCAAUCAUACAGUAAUAGUUAUUGUGAUUUUUCUUAUAUUGUUAUAUUUUUCUUUUAGUGAAAUGCCAGCUGCACAUGCAUGUAAAAAUUUGAGUAAAAACAAUUUUAUCUAUUAUAGUGAUGGUAAAGCCAUAAUCUGACCAAAAUUGUCCUAGCAGCUUCGACAUAACCUGUUUGGUAUACUGUAACAGAUAUACAAAAGCCUUUUUAGGUUUAUUUGUUUAUUUUUAUUAUAACAUUACUAAUACAAGCACAUUAAUAAUAAUAAUAAUAAAUAAAAGAUGUAGAAAAACUGUAUUGUUCUGCUGUUCUUUUGUUUAAAUUAGUCUGAAUGCUUCUUCGGCUUCCUUGAAACCCACAUACGUUCCUGAUGACGAUGGGUAUCUUGCCCGUAUGGCUCGAACAACACAAGAUGGUAGAAUUUGUCUGUUGCAUCUUCCCAGUUUUUCAUCUUUGAGUAUCCACUCCAGUACAACCCGGUA
Megalobrama amblycephala (Wuchang bream) is the source of this 2876-nucleotide long non-coding RNA. RefSeq lists it as uncharacterized. The transcript is spliced from 3 exons. The record is from RefSeq and is a predicted model, not a curated record. NCBI's taxonomy places the organism in Eukaryota, Metazoa, Chordata, Actinopteri, Cypriniformes, Xenocyprididae.